RNAcentral lists this ribosomal RNA (440 nucleotides) under uncultured bacterium. Its description in RNAcentral is "partial 16S ribosomal RNA". It matches the Rfam family "Bacterial small subunit ribosomal RNA", at positions 338 to 795 of the family's 1533-position model. The record is from RNAcentral.
CCUACGGGAGGCAGCAGUGGGGGAUAUUGCACAAUGGGGGGAACCCUGAUGCAGCGACGUCGCGUGGGUGAAGAAGCGCCUCGGCGCGUAAAGCCCUGUCAGCAGGGAAGAAAAUGACGGUACCUGAAGAAGAAGCCCCGGGUAACUACGUGCCAGCAGCCGCGGUAAUACGUAGGGGGCAAGCGUUAUCCGGAUUUAGUGGGGGUAAAGGGGGCGCAGACGGCGAUGCAAGCCAGGAGUGAAAGCCCGGGGGCCAAACCCGGGACUGCUCUUGGAACUGCGUGGCUGGAGUGCAGGAGGGGCAGGCGGAAUUCCUGGUGUAGCGGUGAAAUGCGUAGAUAUCAGGAGGAACACCGGUGGCGAAGGCGGCCUGCUGGACUGCAACUGACGUUGAGGCCCGAAAGCGUGGGGAGCAAACAGGAUUAGAUACCCUAGUAGUC